GCGGCGGACGGGUUAGUAACGCGUGGGAACAUACCCUUUUCUACGGAAUAGCCUCGGGAAACUGAGAGUAAUACCGUAUACGCCCUUCGGGGGAAAGAUUUAUCGGAGAAGGAUUGGCCCGCGUUUGAUUAGAUAGUUGGUGGGGUAAUGGCCUACCAAGUCUACGAUCAAUAGCUGGUUUGAGAGGAUGAUCAGCAACACUGGGACUGAGACACGGCCCAGACUCCUACGGGAGGCAGCAGUGGGGAAUCUUAGACAAUGGGCGCAAGCCUGAUCUAGCCAUGCCGCGUGAGUGACGAAGGCCUUAGGGUCGUAAAGCUCUUUCGCCAGAGAUGAUAAUGACAGUAUCUGGUAAAGAAACCCCGGCUAACUCCGUGCCAGCAGCCGCGGUAAUACGGAGGGGGUUAGCGUUGUUCGGAAUUACUGGGCGUAAAGCGUACGUAGGCGGAUUAGAAAGUAGGGGGUGAAAUCCCAGGGCUCAACCCUGGAACUGCCUCCUAAACUACUAGUCUAGAGUUCGAGAGAGGUGAGUGGAAUUCCAAGUGUAGAGGUGAAAU
Molecule: ribosomal RNA, 557 nt
Filed under: Loktanella sp. I14B-01154
Lineage: Bacteria; Pseudomonadati; Pseudomonadota; Alphaproteobacteria; Rhodobacterales; Roseobacteraceae
Description: bacterial SSU rRNA
Rfam family: Bacterial small subunit ribosomal RNA
Source: RNAcentral